Molecule: non-coding RNA, 88 nt
Filed under: Secundilactobacillus silagei
Lineage: Bacteria; Bacillati; Bacillota; Bacilli; Lactobacillales; Lactobacillaceae
Description: Lactobacillus silagei TPP sequence
Rfam family: TPP riboswitch aptamer (THI element)
About the family: Vitamin B(1) in its active form thiamin pyrophosphate (TPP) is an essential coenzyme that is synthesised by coupling of pyrimidine and thiazole moieties in bacteria. The previously detected thiamin-regulatory element, thi box was extended, resulting in a new, highly conserved RNA secondary structure, the THI element, which is widely distributed in eubacteria and also occurs in some archaea.
Source: RNAcentral
ACAUAACGCUAGGGGUGCCUUGAGCUGAGAAAUACCCUUUAAACCUGAUCUAGUUAGUACUAGCGAAGGGAAGCCAAUGUAACGAAUA